UGGAGCGACAACUUGUCAGUCUAACCGGUAGAGACGACGAAACCAAACAGGCGAUUCGCCUAGUUUAGGGCGAAUAAGCACCAAACAAAUAAUCCCGUAGCGAUACCUCCAGUGAUUCACACACAUUCUUCAGUGGAUUCAGUGGAUUGCACACACAUUAGAAUAUUGAGGCCUUGGUUUGGAAGAACAAAACUACUUAAACAGAAAAGGUUUCCACUCAAAGAACAUACAUAUAGCCUGUGAUUACGAUUUUGAAAUAUUAAACUUAAAUACACGUUACGCUGGAGCAUCACAUGAUGCAUACAUUUGGAGGCAUUCACUUGUUAGAGAUGAACUGUAAUCGUGGUAUCUUAGAGGUUAUUCUUGGCUGCUAGAAGACUCUGGUUAUCCACUAGAACCAUGGUUACUGACCCCCAUAGAAAAUGCUGAUCCAGAAACUCCCGACGGCAGAUAUACAGUGGCACAUGUGCAGACAAGGAAUUGUGUAGACAGGUGUACUGGUCUAUAUAAGAGGAGAUUUAUGUGUUUAUCAAGAACACUGAGGUAUUCUCCUGAAAAAGUUGGAAAUAUUGCCAAUGCCUGUGCAAUUUUACAUAAUGUAUGGCUGGCAGCUAGAUUCGAGUUGGACUUAAAUGUACCCCUACCACAAGAUCAACUUGGGGAUCCCAGAGUUCACAAUAAUGAUGCCAGGAUGAACAGGGAAGGACAUUUAACAAGAAGAAACAUCAUUGCAAGCUA
Sitophilus oryzae (rice weevil) is the source of this 738-nucleotide long non-coding RNA. RefSeq lists it as uncharacterized. The transcript has 3 exons. NCBI's taxonomy places the organism in Eukaryota, Metazoa, Arthropoda, Insecta, Coleoptera, Curculionidae. The record is from RefSeq and is a predicted model, not a curated record.